AUUAAAAAUUCCAAUCCAUUAUGUAUUACCAGGCAUCAGAUGUCGGAUCGUCCAUGUUCGUCCACGUCUUUGGGGCGUACUUUGGUUUGGCUGUUAGUUUCGUUUUAUAUCGCGGCACGGCUUAUUGCGCUGACAGACAGUCCAGGAAAGACGAAGCCAACAGUGACUCAAUUGGCGAAACCCUUUCCACUGCUGUUGGCACUAUGUUUCUGUGGCUUUUGUGGCCUAGUUUCAACGCGUGUUUGGCAAAAGGUGAUGCCAAGCAAUUUCGAGCCAUCAUCAACACCUAUUAUUCACUAUCGGGAAGUUGCGUGACAGCGUUUGCCGUCUCGUCUCUUGUUUUCAACUGCUUCGUGUGCGCUGAAGAUAACAGACGACGCAGUUUUAACAUGGCAAAUAUAUUACUAGCCUACUUAAAAGACGGAUGAAAUUUGGUUAGGAUAAUUGAAUGCCGAUAUACAGGUUGUUUUUCAAAACUCGACCCUUGUUGGUGGAGUUGUGAUCGGUACAUCUGCCGAUAUGAUGAUCAACAUAUGGGGAGCCAUGAUAAUUGGUGGUUUAGCUGGAGCAGGAUCUAUAUUCAUAAAUCGUUUUUCAACCGUAAGUGACGAUUUAGAUAUCAUGGCAUUAAAUUUCGUUCGUUUAAUUAAGUUUCUAAUCGCGUGUUCUUACUUUAAGACGAAAGCUGUUCACCGUAUAAUUGGAAUACGCAACGCAUGGUAUAGAUAAUUUUGAAACAUCUAAUUGUCAGAUUCACCAAACGCUGCUGUGCUAACAAAAAAUUUUUAAAUAUGGUUCCGGAUGUCAAGGGGAGUAAUCUCUUUGCACGGAAUCCCAGGUAUUGUAGCUGGUUUUGUGGGCGCAAUUGUAUCGGCCGCUGCGACUAAGGAAGAUUAUGGUUUCAGGUUCUAGAUCUAGAUAACAAAUAAUUUUGCUGGGUGUUGAUUUGAAGAAGAAAUUUUCUUGGGUCACGACAGCCUUUACCGACAGUUUUCAGCACGAUCUCCACUCAAUAGUUCCAGCGAGUUAUCAAAAAUUCAGUACUACGAUUUAAAAAUUGACCCUGGUCGAGAAAGAACAGCUUUACAACAAGCAGGAUUUCAGAUUGUUACACUUAUCGUGACCCUAGUUAUCGCAAUUAUAGGAGGCCUUGUAACAGGGACGAUUCUUUCGUUGUCUUUCUUCCGUCAACCGUAUGAAGAAAAUGACUCGCAACCUGAUCAGCUAACGCUUGUUGUUGACCAGUUAUUGCUCUCUGAAAGACGUUUAAACGUUAUUAAUGCAACCAACUAAACUAGUGCAAUCGUUAUUUUGACCGAGAAUUUGUCGUCCACUUGUUAACUGGUAAAGCCGUUUGAGCUGGUAAAACACUAAAAUUGAUAAAGCAAAUGCUGACGUUUGGUUUUAUUACUUUUCAAAGCGAAACUUUGCGUUUCUUUUUCUCUCCUAAGUUUCAGACAAGGAAUACAAAGUGUAAUAUGUAAAAAUAACAAAUAUUAAUUUAAAAAUUCAUUAUAAUAGAGAAACUGAGAAAGUAACUGACGCGUACCCCCCACCUACCCCUGGUUUGUGAACGCACUCCGGAGGAAUCCGCCAUGUUUCCACCUUGUUCGUGUUUCUCUUGAGUGAUUCGCAUAGGGGGGAUUCCUUAUGAAAACGACCAAAACCUGUGGCGACCAUCUCACGGAUUUGAUCGCCACUAAC
This is a long non-coding RNA of Daphnia pulicaria, 1704 nucleotides long. RefSeq lists it as uncharacterized. The record is from RefSeq and is a predicted model, not a curated record. NCBI's taxonomy places the organism in Eukaryota, Metazoa, Arthropoda, Branchiopoda, Diplostraca, Daphniidae. The transcript is spliced from 3 exons.